RNAcentral lists this ribosomal RNA (651 nucleotides) under uncultured bacterium. Its description in RNAcentral is "bacterial SSU rRNA". It matches the Rfam family "Bacterial small subunit ribosomal RNA", at positions 138 to 807 of the family's 1533-position model. The record is from RNAcentral.
GGGGGAUAACACCUGGAAACAGGUGCUAAGACCGCAUAAGCGCACGGUCCCGCAUGGGACAGUGUGAAAAACUCCGGUGGUACAAGAUGGAUCCGCGUCUGAUUAGCCAGUUGGCGGGGUAACGGCCCACCAAAGCGACGAUCAGUAGCCGGCCUGAGAGGGUGAACGGCCACAUUGGGACUGAGACACGGCCCAAACUCCUACGGGAGGCAGCAGUGGGGAAUAUUGCACAAUGGGGGAAACCCUGAUGCAGCAACGCCGCGUGAGUGAAGAAGUAAUUCGUUAUGUAAAGCUCUAUCAGCAGGGAAGAAAAUGACGGUACCUGAGUAAGCAGCCCCGGCUAACUACGUGCCAGCAGCCGCGGUAAUACGUAGGGGGCAAGCGUUAUCCGGAUUUACUGGGUGUAAAGGGAGCGUAGACGGUAAAGCAAGUCUGAAGUGAAAUGCCAGUGCUCAACACUGGAACUGCUUUGGAAACUGUUUGGCUGGAGUGCAGGAGAGGUAAGUGGAAUUCCUAGUGUAGCGGUGAAAUGCGUAGAUAUUAGGAGGAACACCAGUGGCGAAGGCGGCUUACUGGACUGUAACUGACGUUGAGGCUCGAAAGCGUGGGGAGCAAACAGGAUUAGAUACCCUGGUAGUCCACGCGGUAAAC